UUAUUUGAGAGUUUGAUCCUGGCUCAGGAUGAACGCUGGCGGCGUGCCUAACACAUGCAAGUUGAGCGAUUUACUUCGGUAAAGAGCGGCGGACGGGUGAGUAACGCGUGGGUAACCUACCCUGUACACACGGAUAACAUACCGAAAGGUAUGCUAAUACGGGAUAAUAUAUUUGAGAGGCAUCUCUUGA
This 190-nucleotide ribosomal RNA is filed under the name Clostridioides difficile. RNAcentral describes it as "partial 16S ribosomal RNA". It matches the Rfam family "Bacterial small subunit ribosomal RNA", at positions 1 to 198 of the family's 1533-position model. Lineage: Bacteria; Bacillati; Bacillota; Clostridia; Peptostreptococcales; Peptostreptococcaceae. The record is from RNAcentral.